UGGAGCUUGCUCCAGGGAUUAGUGGCGAACGGUAGAGUAACACGUGAGUAACCUGCCCUUGACUCUGGGAUAAGCGCUGGAAACGGCGUCUAAUACCGGAUACGAGCUUCAGCCGCAUGGCUAGGAGUUGGAAAGAAUUUCGGUCAAGGAUGGACUCGCGGCCUAUCAGCUAGUUGGUGAGGUAAUGGCUCACCAAGGCGACGACGGGUAGCCGGCCUGAGAGGGUGACCGGCCACACUGGGACUGAGACACGGCCCAGACUCCUACGGGAGGCAGCAGUGGGGAAUAUUGCACAAUGGGCGCAAGCCUGAUGCAGCAACGCCGCGUGAGGGAUGACGGCCUUCGGGUUGUAAACCUCUUUUAGUAGGGAAGAAGCGAAAGUGACGGUACCUGCAGAAAAAGCACCGGCUAACUACGUGCCAGCAGCCGCGGUAAUACGUAGGGUGCAAGCGUUGUCCGGAAUUAUUGGGCGUAAAGAGCUCGUAGGCGGUUUGUCGCGUCUGCUGUGAAAUCUGGGGGCUCAACCCCCAGCCUGCAGUGGGUACGGGCAGACUAGAGUGCGGUAGGGGAGAUUGGAAUUCCUGGUGUAGCGGUGGAAUGCGCAGAUAUCAGGAGGAACACCGAUGGCGAAGGCAGAUCUCUGGGCCGUAACUGACGCUGAGGAGCGAAAGCAUGGGGGAGCGAACAGGAUUAGAUACCCUGGUAGUCCAUGCCGUAAACGUUGGGAACUAGAUGUGGGGGCCAUUCCACGGUCUCCGUGUCGCAGCUAACGCAUUAAGUUCCCCGCCUGGGGAGUACGGCCGCAAGGCUAAAACUCAAAGGAAUUGACGGGGGCCCGCACAAGCGGCGGAGCAUGCGGAUUAAUUCGAUGCAACGCGAAGAACCUUACCAAGGCUUGA
This 899-nucleotide ribosomal RNA is filed under the name Frigoribacterium sp. B1-25c-3. Its description in RNAcentral is "bacterial SSU rRNA". It matches the Rfam family "Bacterial small subunit ribosomal RNA", at positions 74 to 984 of the family's 1533-position model. Lineage: Bacteria; Bacillati; Actinomycetota; Actinomycetes; Micrococcales; Microbacteriaceae. The record is from RNAcentral.